AACUGUUUGACAAGAGUCGAAGUCCAAGGUUCUUUUUUACAGGAUUUGAGCUACUUCUUUUAUUCUUCUUCCAUGUUCACUGAUACGAAGCUUUGAUGUGGUGUUCUGAGAGCGGGUGGAAUUUGAGAUUCUCCUUUCUUCUCUAUAUGAAGGUGCUUGUCAUGUGUCAAGAAAAAUAAAAUUAUUUACAAAAGAUUAUUUUAAGGAGAUUUAUUAUUAUUCGUGGAUCGGGAAGCUCAAAAAAUUUUCUUAUGUAGACUCAAAUCAUUUCUAUAGGGCGAAGCAUAUGAAUGAUACAUAUUAUCUUUUUUUGGCCUUAUGUAUUGUUAUUUGCAGUGUGAUUUGGUCUAGCUUAAGAGCUUAAGCUUGCAGGCUGGAUUUGUCUGACAUGGAACAAUUUAAUUUGUUCAUCGUGAUGUUUAUAUCCAUUUUGUACUACUAUCAAUUUCAAUCAUGGCUAAUUUUUAUAUGUAUUUCUCGUGGACUCUCAGGUUCAGUGCACAAGAGGAUGAAGACGAUGGACACCCAAAUUUGAUGUGGAGAACAACUAUUGCAAAUGGUCCUUGAUUUACUUCUCCAAUUGACUUGAAUUGGUUUGACGCAAUUUAUAGUGUAUUUUUGUCAUCUUUGUAUGACUGGCAGGUCGUCCUGAUUUGGUACAUGACUGGACACAGGAAUUGGACUCAUAUUUUUCAAACCAGAAUGCCAACAAUCAAGCAUUUUCUUUUGAAAGCACUGGCGUCUUCUUCAGUGCCAAAAAGGUUAGAGAUUUUCUGUAUCCUGUUUUGUAUUUGAUCAGUUUAGCAUGUGGGUGGCAAUCAAGAAAAGUUAUUAUAACAUUUUUGUGUUCCCGAAAAACUGCUGCUGAUGUGUAGUGCAGGAAAUGAAUUGUUUGUGACUUCUUUUUAUUUGUAUUCUUUCUUUUUUCUUUUCUCCCCAACAGAAUUACGUAUUUCUGAAGAGCUUCUUGAAGUUGAUUACCAUGUAUGCCACUUUCUUUACUCUAUGCUCAGGAUGUGAUUUUGUUUAGGUCAGAACCAUCAUCUAAAGUUUACUUAAUGCUGCCGAGAAGCUGUAGUAGAGCAAUGAAGGCUGUUGGUGUUAUGAAGGCCAGCUGUGAAGAAAUAUUUGAACUUGUAAUGAGCAUGGAUGGGACACGAUACGAGUAUGCUUCUUUUCUAUUUUUUAUUUUUAGUUACUUUAACAUAAUCAAGACUAUAUUGGCUGUCUGUGUAAGCUGAGUAUUAUAUUUCCUCUUGUAUGCUGUGAAAUUCACAUUGUCUCCAGUCCCGAUUCUGUAUGUGCCUUUUUGAAUAUAUUUAAUUAAUCUGCAUGGUGCUUUCUAAAGAUUAUUACAAACUUUUGUUGCUUAAGUAUAUGAAGAAUGUGGAAAUGAAAAUAGCUUUUGAAGUUUGAUGGAUUGCUUCAUUAAUAAAGAAAGACUAGGACUCAUUUUUAUAACUUUUCUCCACUUAGCUAAUGGUAUUUGAUGAAGACAAAAUAGAUGUAGCUAUCUAUAUUUUUUGUUGCUGAACUAUAGAUCAAUUGAUGGUUGAAGUUAGUUAUAUUAAUUUGUUGUACUAGAUUAAAGCUUGUAUCUUAGCCAUUUCAUGAAGUGUCAAAUACGUUCUUUCCUCUUUUUUUUUUUUUUCGAAACAUGUUACACUUUUGAAGUCACUAUUACAUAAAAGAGUGUUCUAAAACAGGAGAAGGCGUGCUGCCUGAAAUUACCUGUUUCCUAGCAAAUCUAGCUGGUUUGCGAAUUAGAUUUUAACAAGUCUCUUGGCAAGGUUUGCUAGUAAUGUGUUCAAAUUAUUCUAUUUAAUUUUACUGUCUGUACCCUAAUAAUUCUUGGUUUGCACCAUUGCAUUGUUCCAUAAUCUCUGUGCGUUGGCUUAUAAAGGCCAGCAAGGCUGAUCAUUUGUCGAAUAGUUAUUUCCAUGAAAUUCCUAUCAAUUUGACUCAGUAUUUAGAGGUCUUGAAGAGGGCAGUGUACUAGACAUGGAUUUCUACCUCUUUUGGUUGUACAAUUGUUGUAUUUCUUGGCCAUCAGAUCUUUUUUAUGUACCUUUCUCAAAGUUCUUGCCGCACGUACACCGUUUUUCAUGUUUUGUGCAGGUGGGAUUGUAGUCUUCUGUAUCGCAGCUUAGUUGAAGAGGUAGAUGGUCAUACGGCUAUUCUCUAUCAUAGGCUUCAGCUGGACUGGCUUCCAAUGUAAUAGUCUCUUGAUUCAAUCAUCUCAUUUAUGCUUUGGUCAGAAUAGAACAUUUAUUGUUCUUCUUUCCCCUUUCCUCUCUUCUGAUGUAAUAUGUGAGGAAAUUACCUAAAAUUUCUGUAUCCCAAUGUAAUUGUUGGCAUUCAGAAAUAAAAUAAAUACACCGUCUUGUUUUUCCCUCGGUUCAGUCCUAAGUUCUCUUUGGGCCUUCUGCAAGUUUUUAAACAUACUGUGACAGUAAAAAAUCUAGUGAUUGAGAUCAUUUUGAUGAAUUUAAUUUUAAUUCUUAGCUGAUACUUUUUCUGGAAUUUUUUUCUUAUGUUUCCUCAAUAUGACUUAAAUAUAGGGCUUAGUCAUGGAUCAUGCACCAGAGUGAUGGAAGCACCCCUUGUUUAUUAGGAAAAGCAGUUGAUUGUAACUAUAUCCGCGGUCCUAAGUAGUUAGAAGUAAAUGCUCUUCGAAUUCCUAUAGUACAUGGGAUGUGUUCCCUUUCAAAUAGCUUGUUCAAUACCAUUAACAUGGUUUAACAUUGUUCAUCUUUCUGUAGAUUGAUGUUGACGUGUUCUUCUAGAGUUGCUAAUGGAGUUUUGGGCCUUGUAAUUGGUGUAAUUACGGCAUUGGUGGUUGACAUGGCUUUCCUUGUGCAGGUAUGUAUGAUUGUUUUUUUCCCCCACUUCUAAAUGACACGAGGGAAGAGACAUGAUUUUGAGAUAUUGUACUGCAAUUUGCAUAUUUGCAUACUUGAAUAGUAACUCAAGAAUCAUUUUCAGAAUGGUAUAAUGCUUCGUGUAUGCAGGCAAAUACUACAGAUGAAUUACCGGAGCGGCUGAUUGGAGCUGUACGUGUUUCUUAUAUAGAACUCAAGUCUGCUAUUGUCCCAAAGUUGGAACCAGAGACAUCAUGACUCUGGUUUCAUUUCACCUCAACUGUUUUUUUUUUAAUUGAAAAAAAAAAUCAUUUGUUUUAGGUAUGCAUACAUGUAUUUUGAUCCCGUUUUCAUUGUAAUUUCUCAUUUACUUUGAAAGAAAGUCACUGGUGUUUUCGAAUAGGAAUUUUGCAUUAAAAAAUAAAGAAUACUUAAUAGGAAACUUAAUAAUUCUUUAGUUACUAUUUUUGGAAUGAGUGUAAUAGUAUUGAAGUUGGUUUCUACUCGCAAUCAAGUGAACUACUCGAUCCCCAACUGCGACCGCACUAAUUGUCAUUGUUUAAUAGCCUACUACUUUUAAAACUCAACAACUAAAAAAAUGAUUUUCUUAUGAUGCUGUGAAAACAUUUAUGGGUUCACUUAUUUCCACAAGAUCUAUAACAUGGUCUUGACUUCACGAAAUUCUUUUAACUUAAAGGGUUCUGGUCUGAGAAAGUUAAUUUGACGGAUUAAUUCCUUUUAAUAAUGGUCGAGUUAAUUUUACUAUACUCGUAAAACUAUUAUUAUUCUGAUAAUGCCACAAAUGUUAUGAUGUUUUCUUCAGCCAAUAAUCUUCUAUUAGGACUAGUUAGAAAUCAAAUGCUUAAAACACCAAUUGAAUGAAUAAUGCAGAAGUUUAAACAGUAUCUAAUUGAAAAUUACAUGAAGCAUGAAACAUCAAUUCAAGUCCUUCCUUAAACAGAGAAUGCAUCAAACAAAUCCAAAGUGUCUUGCAUGUCUGUAAAUAAUUGUAAAUGCGUUUAGAUUAUUCAAGUACAGGAGAACAAGCAAGUUGAAUCAUGUACAAGAGGUUGGCCUGGUUCGAGAUAGCUUCUUCACAGUACCUGAAGGGUUGGCUCAAUCUUUUCUUUAGAAUUCUGCACAUUUUGUAAUUACUCGUGUAAGCAAGCAUACAUUACAACCAUAAUAAUAAUAAGGCAAGAGUAAUGAUACGACCACAGCCUCUUGUGCACAAAUAAUAUUGUACAAACUAAUAUGACAUAAUAUGAUUGAUUAAACAAAAACAUAACAUGACCCUCAUAAUUUAUUUAUUAUUAUUUUAUAUUUUCAGUCAAGCAAUCAUAUUAUGCCACAUUAAAUAGAAAUAAUUUACUAGAUAGUGCCAACACUUCAUUGAUACUCACCAUUUCAUUGAACAAUUUUUUUAUAGUGUCAUUGAGGUUGCCUUCCCAACAUCCUUCAUCAUCACCAUCUUCAUCUUCGGUGGGUUUCACUUUGUUUAGCUUUGGUGCGUCUACGACUCCUGGAGAGAAAAUCUUCAUCGUUGGGCAUUGUCUCACAACUACGUGUGCCAAGGACGGGAACUCAAGAGCGUAAUUACCCAAACUAAAGCUUGUUAGGCUUGGCAAACAAUCAAUUCCCAAGUACUCCAAUUUCCUGAAAACAAUGCAAUCUUCCGCUUCUUCUCCAACCUGCGACUGUAUAAUUUCUUCCAUCAUUUUGCAAUCAGUUAUCUUCAUUCUUUCAAGAUUCACUAGACUUUCAGAUGUUGAGAGUGUCAAUAAAUUUAUCAACCCAUGACACUUCGAUACUUCCAGAGUCGCAAGAUUUUCCAAAUGCCACAAAGCUGGUACUAAUUUCUGCAACUUACUACAUUCAAAUAUUUCUAGACUUUUCAAGUUUGCAAACACUUUGUUGGAUUCGGCAUUUUCCUUCCAGAGAUGCUGCACUUUGUGUAAUCCAGAUAGCUUUAACUUCAUCAAUUGAGGGAAUGCAACCUGAAAAUCAACAAAAUUAAGUUGUAAAUGAAAAUAUGUAUCCAAUCUCUACAGUCUUCCCCUACAUAUUUUAUGGACAAGAUUAAUCACGGCAUUUUAUAUUUUAUUUCCAAAUUAGUAUGCUUUGCAGUAGGAUCCCAAAUAUAAGUAUCAAAUCGAUUACCCUUUGAAACACAUAAAUGAAAUCUGAUCAUAAAUCCAAUAUGAAUUAGCUAGGAAAACAAAGAUCUAACACGCAUAAUUUAUGCGAUAUAGUUCAUCACCUCCUGUCACUAGGCAUCUAAUUAAUUUGAGACAUUUUUUUAAUUCAUACUAUAAAGUUAGUUAAUAACUACAAUUAUAUUGUUAAAUCAGAUAUAAAUUAAGACGACGUGCAAAAAGAUAAGUCAUUAAAUUUGAUUUGAUUCUAAUGAAAUUACAUCUAUGCGAAUGAAAGUGAAGGGAAAAAUAAUAAUAAUGAUUACCUUUUUAUCGAAGAGAUGUUGUAUUUGAUUAGCUACCAAGAGGUUCUCUUCUGAUUUUAAUUUUUGAGCUUCCUUAUUAUCUGCUGUCAUGUGCAAUACAGAUGUAGAAUUGGAUAUGAAUGUUUCCAUGUCAGGGCAAUUCUCAAUAGUUAGAUAUCUCAACUCAGGCAGUUCAAUUAUAUUCCCAGUGAAGUUGCAGAAUCUUUUGAGUUUUGGAAGAUCAAUGAGCCUUAGAUUGGAAAGCUUAGGAAACAUGGGGCCUAUAUGUUCUUUGUCAGCAUUUAGCUCUUCCAAACGAAGCACCUCUUCUAGUGAAUCACAAUUCCUCACUUCCAGCCGUCGCAAAUUGUUCAAGCAUCGUAGCAGAUUGGCAGGAAUAGCACUCGACAUAUUCGUGCAGUCAUCCACCACCAGCCGUGCUAAAUUGUUGAAGAAGCUGACAGGCAGUGCUUGGCCAUGCCAUAUUUCUUUCAAACGUGGAAAAUGUGAGAGUUGCAAAUACCAUAUGUCACGGAAUCCAAUCUGCACAAACCAAAACAAUUGCACCGGAUAUAUACAAUUUUUUUUUUGAAAGGCAUUAUAUAUAUACACAUUAAACUUACAUGUUUUGUGUUUUAACUUCUAAAAAUAUAUAUACAAGACCGGGGUAUAUGCUUAAAUGUGCAAUUGCAGGGGAGAUGCAUAAACAAUUUGGGUGAAUCGAUUAACACAUACCAUUUCUUUGUAAUACUUUUGCAUAAUGGAAUUAAGGUUAUUGCCUUCCCAAUGGUGCAGUUCACCCUCUUCCUUUUCAGUCACUUGCACUUUGCAUGGCUUUGGAAUGGAUAAGAUUCCCUGAGAAAAAGUCUUCAUAUUUGGACAACGUAUCAUAGAAACUCGUUCCAGUGAUGGGAAUUCAAGAGUGUAAUUCUCCAAACAAAAGCUGGUAAGCCUUGAUAAAUAAUUAAGUAUCAAAACUUUUAAUUCGCUGAAAGCAAUACGAUUCUCCUUCACUUCUUCUCCAACAUGUCCUACGAUUUCUUCUAUUUUUUGGCACUUCGAUACUUUAAGAUUCACCAAACUACUAGGAAUUCCAACCUGAAAAUAAGCAAAAGUGUGUGUAUAUUAAAAAAGUAAAAAUGUAAGAAUAUCAUUCAACUAGGUUCAAAGUAUGUUUAAUCAUACAAUUAUACGUUUUAUAAAGAUAACAAACCAUGAAAUGUCUACAAGAUAAUUUUUUGUUAAACAAAAAAAGCAACAAGAUAAAUAAAUAAAUAAAAGCCAGAUAAACAAAGAUAUUAAAUGCAUUUACACUAUUUAGUAUUAGGAACGUACGAAGAAUUUAAGGCAAUUUCUAAAUAUUUUAGACUUAUUUUGCAUCUUGAUGCCAGUUUUUAAACAAAAUUUGCAAAUUUCAACUAUUCCUUUUGGGAAAAAAAAAUCAACCAAAAUGCCGCUUUUUCCCUUUUCCCUUGGUCCCUUUUUUUUAUGUAUAUUUAAUUUUGGAAACAAAAUUAAAGUGGAUCUUUAUUAAGUACUUCCAGACUCGAGGAAAUUUCUUUACAAUCAAGGAUCAGUUGUAAAUAAUCGUGAAUUUGUGGUUAAUUAAUGGCAUAAUCAGUUCGUAACUAAACAAGAGAUAUUAAUUAAAUUUGAAGACUUUUCUUUUCUUUUUUUCUUUUUCCAAUCGAAAUGUGAAGAAUUAAGGAAAAGAGAAAUAUAUAGAUGAAUUUGUGAACCUAUAAGAUGAGUGACUAUCCUUUAAUUUUUGAAAAUUGUACUUAUUAAGAUAUGAGCAGAAACAAUUAAAUUGAAUUAUAUUAUGAUGUUGAAUCGUGAUUAAAAAAAUUAUAUUGUUGAUUCUAAUGCUGGCGAACCUAAAAAAUGGACUUAAAAUGUAGAUUUGAGAGUGGUGGUUCGAAAUACAAUACUUGAAAUAAAUAAUCAGUGGCUGAAUAUCAUUUGUAAACCCAAAAAUGGUUAAAAUAUUGUUGGAUGUAAUUUAAAAAAAAAAAGAUUCGAAAUGAAUACAACGACCUUACCAAUGGAGGAAAAAUAUUCAUUAGGUUAUGACACUUAUAUAUCUCCAAAUUCUUCAAUUUGCUGAAAGACUCCGAAGGAAGCUGGUGGUGCCAUAUUUUUCUCAAAUUAUUCAUCCAGCUAAUAUCUAAUACCUCCAACCUAGGAAGUCGUACCUGGAAGUUAAAGAUUAAAUAACUAAUUAAUCAAUUAAUGGCAUAAUCAAUUGAUAACUAAAUUAGAGGCGGAUAUUAACUAAAUUUGAAGACUCAAGGAAAAGACAAAUUAAGUAUUGUGACUAAAAUUAAUUUUAUUUAUUAAAAAAAAAACCUUUUCGUCAAAGAGAGGAGGAGGUUGCAUUUCAGAAUGAUUGGUGUCUUCUGGUGAGCUCGUAGAGAUGAAUCUUAACAUAUUACUGCAAUUACCAAUCUCGAGGUUUAGCAAAGAAGGGAAUUCAACAACUAAAUCUGAAUGAAUAUGUCCUGUAUUGGCGAAGCUUGUCAGUUCUGUAAGCCAAUAGAGCUGCAGGGAGUGUAGUUUAGGAAAAACCUUUAAUUCAAUCAACUUUCCUUCAUCUCUUUCUGACCACCCCGUGGUGUCGACUACCCCUUCCAUUGACUCACAAGACCAUAUUUCAAGAUGUUGGAGUUGCAAAAGACUAUUAACCAUAGAAUACGAAAACAGAUACUUCAUACGAUCACAACUUCUCACGUACAGCUUUGUUAAAUUUUGACAACAGUACAUUCCUUGAUUAUGAUCGGCCCAUAAUUUUUUGAUGUUUCUUAAUUCCGUGAGAUUCAAUUCCUCUAAGCUCGGAAGAAGAACCUGCAAAGAAAAGCCGUACAUUUUUGUUCCUUCAAGUACAACCGUCUAGUAUAAUAUUCUGUUGAUGAUCGAAGAUUAAUCGUGAUAAUAAAUUAAUCAAUUAAUUAUUGAACAGAAAAUUAUCACCUUUGGAGCAGUAUCAUCAUCAGCAAUGAUUUCGUUGAAUCCCAAAGAAGUUGUUGGUUUCUCCCUGUCGGGUCCUGUAAACAAACAAAAACAAUAUACAUAAUUAAUCUUUGUCGUUGUCUUUUUUUUUUCAAAAUAAUUGAGGCGAAGUCCAUAAAUCCACCAACACUUAAUUUCAACACUUACCAACAGUCAUUUCCAGUUUAUUGCAGGAAGCCACUUUGACCUUUUGAAGCCGCAGUAGGUUUCUGGCUAUGGAAAAUGAGAAAAGAUGCUUCAAUUUAUCACAGGAUUCUACUUCUAUAAUCUUUAAGUUGCUGAAAAAUUGAUCUUCUCUGAGUUGGCUGUGGCAUAUGGCCUCCAAAUUGAUCAAUUUAUAGAGAGACAAUGACUCCAGCAAGGGGAAGACUUUGCGAUGAACCCGUCCAACUGAACCGACAAUGUGUAAAAUCUCAGAACACCUUUCUACCCAAAGAUGCUUCAAUCGUGGAAAACCUUCCCCAUCAUCUAAUUCAUGAACAACAUUCUGAACACCCGUCAGUUCCUCUAGACGGAUAUCUUCAGUUAACUUCAGCAACAUUUUCAUCCCAUAAUUCUCCAAAAGAGUGCUAACAUUUUCUAACCCAUGGAGCUGCACCAAUCUUGAUGUUUCAGAAUUAGCGCGCCAGAUGCCCCACGCUUCUCCUAUACAUAUCCUAUAUCUUGGCAAUUCGACAAAGACCAAAUCCUGCGGCAGCAUUUGGGCAUCCUGAACUUGUAUCUCCAAAGUAGUUAGCUUUGACAGCCCCUUCAAUUCAGCAAGACUGGCGUUACUUCCUCCUUCAACCUUAUCCCACUGCGGAAAGCUGUCACCCAUAUAUAGUUCUUCCAAUCGAGAAAAUUUUGAUAUGACAUUUGGUGCUAUCACUACAAGGCUGCUACAAUUGCUCAAAUCUAGCAAUUGUAACUGCGCCAAUUGACCAAUUUCAAGUGGCAACUGCUUAAUGUCGGAAUAUCGAAAGCUAAGAAUCUCUAAUUUCUUUAGCUGUCCAAUUGCCGCUACAUCUUCUAGUUGGCACCAGUCUAAACACAAUGUUUGAAGGUUAAUGAGGUGACCAAGUGAUGAAGAUAAUGAAGAGAAAUGAAUUCCGCUAAGACUUAAAACUUUGAGAUCUUCCGUCCCUUCAAAAAAGAGGUGUGAAAUUUCCAAAUAGCUAUCACCAUUUGCAAGCAACAGUAAUAACUUGAGUUGGGGACAUUCCAACCUUUCGGGAAGCUCUUGAAUAUCUCCAUAAGGUAUAGAAAUAGCAAUUGCACCUUUCUGUAUGAUCUUUUCUAUCUCUUCCUUCAAGUUGGUAACAUUUGGGAUACUAAACAUGAGCUUCUCUGAGGCAAUUGAUACGGCAACAACAUGAAUGACGUCAUGCAUUUUAACUUCAUCUUCAGCAUCGCCGUCCAACAAUAAGCAUGAAGCUUUGAGAUUGUCGAUCAAUGCGUCCACUCUAUUCCUUGCAUUUUCCAAUGUGCGAACAUUUUUAAACAAACCCUUACCAUAUCUCAACAAGGAAGCAACUUGUAUAGGAGUACCUUCACCAAAUAGAGUACAAAGAAGGAACAAAGAUUUUGCUUCAUCACUUUCCAAGAAGUUGUAACUCAAUUCUAUGGAAGAGCAGACAUUUGCAUCCAUUCCAUGAAUUUCUCUUGGAUUAGAAUUUCGCAGCUGAGUCAACGCAUCCUUCCAAACGGGAAGCUUCUUAUUUUUCAGAGCAUUUGCAACUGUACUCAGUGCAACAGGCAAUCCUCCACAUUUUCCAACAAUCUCAUCUGCUAAAGGUUGAAAAGCAGAUGCUUUUGCGGAAUUGCCCACGAUCUUUUCAAAAAAUUGCAAUGCUUCUUCCUUUGAUAAAACUUCAAUUAGGAAAAUCUUCUGAGAAUUCAUAUCAUUGGUCAAUAAAUGUUUACUUCUAGACGUCAAUAUUAUCGUGCGUCUCCUUAGAUCUUGCUUUCUAUCUUUCUCAUCAACAUCCCCAAAAGGAAUUCCAAUUUCUUCCAACCCAAGUUUUUUCCAAAUAUUAUCUAAUAUAAUGAGGACUCGCUUCUCUUUCGUCAAUCUUUGACAAAGUUGUUUUGCUCUGUGGGGUUUGCUAUCAUUCAAGUCAAAGUUCAAGUCUAAAUCGGAAGCGAGCUUGUCUUGAAUUUUCUGAACAUCUGGGUUCUCUGUUACCUCAGCCAUAACGACCUUAUCGAACACCUUAUCUUCCAUAACUUGCUUUGCAAUUUGCUUGACUAGCGUGGUUUUACCCACGCCGCCCAUACCGUGGACCCCAAUUAUGUUGAGCUUAUCAUUCCUCAAUGCCUCCACAACAUCUUGAAAUAAUUUCAUUCUUGAAUCAAAGGCCUCGAAAUCUUUCGCUUGCAUAUGUUCUGUACUCUCUGGAGCAGGACGGUGGGAAACACUAGAGAAGUUGCCUUUUCCCACGAGACUAGCGGCAGCUUCUGCGGCCUUUGCUGCUUGUUUACUAAGUUUAUAACGAGAAAUCAAGUUGGGGCAAAAUCCUUUGAAGCAGGACUUCUUAGCUCUAUCUUCAUCAUCAAUGAUGGAUUUUGCAACCCCUUCACUGAUGAAUUCAUCAACGUUAUUAAGCCAGUCUGCAACAUCCUUGUAAAUCUCAUCUCUUUGUUGAGUAGCCUCACGAACGGGUAUUCCCACCCUUUCUCUUUUAUAUUCUAGCUCCUUCACUUGAACUUUUAGCUCAGCUAUGUAGCUCUGGUACUUGAACACAUAAGAGAUCUGCCGCAUAAUCGGUUCGAACAAUGCCUUUGCACCUUCUGUUACAAUGCCGGAAAAAGUAGUGGAAACCAGGUCUGCAGCCAUUGCCUAGCCUGUUGCUUUCAUACAUACAUACAUACAUAUAUAUAUAUAUAUAUUAGCUGUUGGAAAAAUUAGAUUCAAAUAAAUUAAAAUGAACUAGGGGAAAGACGGAGAAAGAAAUGACAACCAACAACUUUUUAAAAAAAGGUUUCAAGGGCCUGAAUGGAAAACCAACAAUUUAAAAAAAAAAUUGUAAGAUGGAUGCAGAUUAACCAUUGCUAAUAUUACAUAAGAACACAGAAGUUAACAAUGAACAGUACGUAGAAAAUUAAAUGACAAGAUUAAAACAAACAAGGGCUAUUUUUUCUUGGACAAUUGUACCUAUUUAAUUAUUAAAGAGUUAAUGACCUUCACUGCUGGCCUUGAAUAUAUAAGAACGACCAGAAGAUGAAUAUUAACUGCAGACGAAUGUAAGUAAAGAGUUCAUGAGAGUGAGUAAUACAAAUGAAUUGUAAAAGAACAAGACUUAAGUGUGACCCCAUCUUUUGUUUUAUUAUAUAAAUAGAACACAUGAUCAUUUUUAACAAAGUGAUCAAUAACUCUAUGCGUUAUUUAAUUGAUAUUGUAACCAAUUUUAAGGGAAUUUAAUAAUAAUCAUUCAAUGCAUAAAUUUAAAAUUAGAUUUUUUUAAUUCUUUAUUUAAAUAUAAAUCUUAAUGGAAAAUUAUAAAAAUUUAGAGAUAAAAUUUUUCAAUCACCAAGGAAAAAAAAUGGGAAUGAAAACAGAGGAAUCUUGUUUUACCUUUUUUUUUUUUUCCUUAACUCUUGUUCCUAUACAAAUAAUCUUGUUUUGAUGAUAGUGCUCGUGACUAUGGGAAAAUUUCUAAUGGAAACAACUCAAUUUCGGAAGAUAAGCUUAAUUCUGCAAGUGAUGAAUUUGUUCAAUUGACUCUGUACUUGAACUCGUUGGAUUGGUUGAUUUACGAUUGACUGCAUUUCAAUUCUGCCUAAAAGAUCUUUUUAAUAGCUAUCAUGUACUCCUUAAAAGCAAUCAUUUUUAGAUUUGACUGAAUUUGAACUUGUUGGAUUGGCUGUUUUUAGAUUAUUGAUAUGAGAUACUACAAUGUAAACAUUUUCAUGUGGCUGAGCCCUAUUCUAAAAUCUGUAUGUUGCUUUAGAAAAAGGGCUUUUCCUACUGAUAUUUAAUCUUCAAGUAAACUUAGAUAUAAAGUAAAUCAAAUAAAAUGACAAACAAGCAAUAUAAUAAAAGACAACAAACUGGCAAUAUUGAUACAAAGGCAACAGAUAUUAAACUUUAGGACAUUUUUUUCCUAGCUUUCAUUUGUUGGAGGAUUAGAGAUUUUGGUAUUACCGGAAAGCUAAAAGGUUUCAAGGGUCUGAGUAGAAACCUAUAAUCUUUUUAAAAACUUUCUUUUUCUUUUUUCUUUUUUCUUUUUUUGGGGGGGGGGGGGGGGGGGGGGGGGGAAGAAUGCAAGUUAACCAAACGAAAUAAUAAGAGCACAGGCUUUAACAAUGAACAAUAACUUAAAACUCAUGCAAAGUAAAUUCAAUAUUAAAACAAACCAGAGAAAUUUUUUUUCUUGGAAAAUAGAUGGAAAUUAUGAAAGAACAGAUGUCAAGAUCAAAGAUCUACUAUACACAAACACACACAUUAGAGGAUUUGGAAAAUGUGCACCUCUUUAAUUAUCUGGGAUUAGAGAGUUGGUGAGAUUCUCCAUUUGGCCUUGAAUAUUUAAGAACAACCUCAAAGAGCAAAAAGAUCACCGGUAACUGCCGAGGAAUGUGUAAGAAAAGGGUUGAUGAGAAUAAUAACAUUGACUUGCAGAAGAAAAAGCAUUAAUCAAGCACCCCUUUUUUAUAUCAUGUAUUUGGUUAUUGUUGCCCUGUUUACGCACGUAUAGGAUAAUUAUAUGCAAUCUUUUUUUAAAAAUCCACAUGCACUUUAGGGCUUCUUUCAUAAAAGCAGAUACCGGAAACACACAAAAAUCAUUUGAGAGAGAAACCGAACAGCAAAUCAUCAAAGUAAGAUCAACAAUAUAUGAUUUGAUUAAUGCAUAUUCAAGAACAAAACAAAAAUAAAUAAAUNNNNNNNNNNNNNNNNNNNNNNNNNNNNNNNNNNNNNNNNNNNNNNNNNNNNNNNNNNNNNNNNNNNNNNNNNNNNNNNNNNNNNNNNNNNNNNNNNNNNNNNNNNNNNNNNNNNNNNNNNNNNNNNNNNNNNNNNNNNNNNNNNNNNNNNNNNNNNNNNNNNNNNNNNNNNNNNNNNNNNNNNNNNNNNNNNNNNNNNNNNNNNNNNNNNNNNNNNNNNNNNNNNNNNNNNNNNNNNNNNNNNNNNNNNNNNNNNNNNNNNNNNNNNNNNNNNNNNNNNNNNNNNNNNNNNNNNNNNNNNNNNNNNNNNNNNNNNNNNNNNNNNNNNNNNNNNNNNNNNNNNNNNNNNNNNNNNNNNNNNNNNNNNNNNNNNNNNNNNNNNNNNNNNNNNNNNNNNNNNNNNNNNNNNNNNNNNNNNNNNNNNNNNNNNNNNNNNNNNNNNNNNNNNNNNNNNNNNNNNNNNNNNNNCCCCAGGGGAAAAUCUGGAAUUCCUUUUUUUAAUUUUUUUUUUUUUAAAAAAACCCCACCGGAAAUUCUUAAAAUUUGGAAAAAAAAAUUUUGAGUCCCUUAUUCUGGGGGGGGGGGGGGGGGGGACGAAAACAGAGGAAACUUGUUUUACAUUUUUUUGAUCUUAACUCUUGUUCUUAUAUAAUAUUUUCCCUGGGAUUUCAGGCAAACCAAACAAAAAAAAAAAAAUUCAAUAAAGAGCAAGUUGCUCUAAUUGAUUUAUCUUGUUUUUCAGGCUAUUUUGUGACAUGAUGAUAUGUAAUGCUCUUGAAUGCUAGAAAAAUUCUAAUGCAAACAUUUUUGCAAAUGACGAAUGUAAAUAACUUUUUUUGAUUAAUUGAAUCUCUAAUACUCUUACCCUAUUCUAAAAUUUGUAGGUUGCUUCAGAAAAAAAGGGUAUUUCUCACUCAUCUUCAAUCCUCAAGCACAAUUAGAUUAAAAGCAAAUCUAAUAAAAUAACAAACAAAUUAACAAAAAAAAGAAAAAGAAAAAAAACAAUGUUGAUCUUGAGACAAUUGAUACUUAAACAGAGAAUUCUUUGUUCUUUUUUUACUCCCCCUGGCUCGAGGAUUAGAGUCUUUCUUUGCUAUUAACAGAGAGGUUUUAAGGGUCCGAAUAAAAACCCGCGCUUUUUUUAAAAACUUCUUUUUUUUUUUUUAUUGGGGAAGAUAGAUUCAAAUUAACCAAAGCUAGUAAUAAGAACACAGGCCUUACAAAUGAACAAUAACUUACAACUCAAGCAACAUAAAUAAUAAGAUUAAGACAAACAUGAGAUUUUUUUCUUCGAAAGUAGAUGGAAAUCAAGUAAGAACAGCUAUUAAAAGAAAUUACUAGAGAAUUUAGAACAUGUGUACCUCUUUAAUUAUUUGGGAUCAGAGAGUUGAUGAGCUCUCUAUUCGCCUUGAAUAUUAAGAACUGGUAUUAAAAGAAAUUAUGAAGAACAAUUUUAGUGAGCGAUAGAUCACUGUUAACUUCAGAGGAAUUUGUGAGUAAAAAGCUGAAAAGAGCCGUAAUAAUGAAUUACAAAAGAAGAAGACUUAAUCAAGCACCCCUUUUAUACCCGAUUUUUAAGAUUUAGUCUUGAAGUUCACAAUCAAGAACAAAGACGAAGCUUUAAUAAAGCAUGCAGUGAGAUACAAGAAAUGGAUCGGGCAAAAUACCUUACGAAGCGUUUCAUAUUUUCUAAUGAAAUAAUUAAGUUGAAGUUUUCGACGAAUAAAUACUUGUUGUGCUUGAAUAAUUUUGGCAUAUACGUUACUUGUAUCCUGCGAAAUUGAAAAGCACAUUGGUUUAUUAGAGCUUAUUAGGAGGGAAAAGCUUUGUAAGAUACCUGAUAAAAGAUAAAGUAAAAGCUUGAAUGAAGAAUGACAUUUUAGAAAGAAACUAAAGUGCAAUCAUCAAAGUGGGAUCAAUAGUGACUUGAUAUUUCAAUUGUUCUGUCCACAAAUGAUGCUUCGUUAUUACUAAUUCCAGAUGGACAUUAUUAGAAAAUGAUCUUAUGUUUAACAGAAAAAUAAAAACUCGUCAUCAUACAAAACAGCGUGAAGAAAUCUUCAAUUUGAUUAUUAUAAAAUAAUAAGUUUCAUUACUAGAUUAUGCGGACAUUAAUGUUAGAGAUUUGAUCAGAUUAUCAUAUAAUUUACUAAACGCUUUGAGAAGAACAAUAAUUAAUUUUUAAAAAAUUGAAAAAUAAAUUAAAUAAAGAGUACACGCAAAUAAUGUUACUUCCAAUCACCAAACUGAAAAACAGGGGAAUGAUAACAGACGAGUCCCUGAUUAUCCUCUCUCUCUCUCUCUCUUUUUCAAUCUCUCUCUUUGAUAUCCAUAUCUGAGCAUCAGAGCUUGACAUCUUUGAUAAAUAAAUAUGCUUACUGGUACUGUUUUUGCAUAUGUCUUUCACAAAAUCAUUGUAUACGCUUACAUAGAGAAGAAGAUUCAGAUAACUUUCAAAAUCUGAAUCCGCCUGAUGGACAGGCUUGACCACACAGCCCCGAGACAAGGAAGUCCAAGCAACUAAUCUAAACCGUUCUCCUUUAUUAGCUAGAUUUAGUAUUUGGGUUCUUUAUGUAAAACGACACUAUGAUCUUGAAAUUUUGAUUUAAUUAAUAAAUAGUUAAAUUCUUAAUGUUUCAGGAGUAGAUACAUAGACUCUCUUCUAAUUUUAGUCAUUACAAACAAUGCCAUUGUGCGGUUAUACUAUUGCUUCUUUUAUGAAACCAUUCUCACCAUCACAUAGAUCUUGGCAUAUAGAGUCUCAUAAUGUCAUCAAAUAAUUUUUUUUUUUUUUAAAAACAUAAAAUAUGAUACAUGUAUUCAUUUUUUUUCAAAUUAGGGUGUAUUAUUCUUAAAACUUAAGUGUUCUACUUAUAAAUAUCUUGAAGGUGUGAGUGUUUUCUUUUCGUAAACAAACCGUAAAAGAAAAAGAGGAACAAUAAUUUUUUACUUAUCCUUAGAGAUAAGAUUCAAUCGGGAUGUGAGUAAGUGUGUUUUUCUUUUUUUAUUAUGCUAAAUUAUCGAGUCACAAAGCAUAUUGAUUCAAAAGUAUAACUUUAUACUGAUGAUAGAUAAUUUCAAAACAAUGGAAUGAAAACAGAGGAGCUCCCCCCUCCCCCACCCCAAUCCCCGCCCCCCCCCCCCCCCCCCCCCAAAAAAAAGUUCUUCUUCUUUUAUAUAUUUUUCUUGGAAUUUUAGGUAAAAGAAAAAAAAAACUGAGAUUGAUUUCAAGGGAACAGGUGGAUAAUAACUAAAAUACUUAUUUUUAUAUAUUUGAUAUGUGCGCUCACUAUUAAUAGAACUUAUUAGAUACUACAACUUAAAUAACUUCCCAUGGUUGAUUGAGGGUAUGUUUGAGAUUUCCUUUACUUUCCAAGAAUUAAUUUCUACCUUGAUUCUGAACAAAAAAAUAAUUUUACAAAUAAUCUAUUAGGGUGUUUGGUAAAUGAUGAUUAUUUGACAAUCAAUUUUUAAACGGUUUACUAUACAAAUCUGGUAAAUGAAAAUUAAAAGUGUAAAAUGUUCAUGUACAAUGACAAAAAUGUACUUGUUUACUUGUUUGUAAUUUAUUUAGAAUAUUAUUAUUUAAAUCUUUUUUUAUUUACAAGAUUUUUUAAGAGCAUAUUCUAUUUUCUUUAUUACAUAUUUAAAUAAUUUUUUAUUAACUAUUUUAAUUUGCAAUAAAAUUAACUUCAAUAUCUUUUUAACUAAAAAAUUUGUUAUGUAGUUCGUGAUAUAACAAAUACUAACAUAUCAUUAGUUUGAUUAAUAAAUUAAGUGCAAAAAAGAAAAUGCAAAAAUUUAAUCUUUAUAUAAACUUUUAUGUACAUAAAAUCAUUGUAAUCAAACUAGUUCAUAGAAAUAUAAUAUUAUAUACAUGUGUGUAAAAAAAAAAAACAUAUGACCAUAAUAUUAUCCACUCAUUAAACUUGCUGCACUAUUAUUUCUCAAUCUCUCCAUCUCUCGACCUUCAAGAACAUUACUACCAUAAUCUUCUUCUUCUUGAAUCCAACCUCUAUUUCCUCAUCAUCAACAAUGCGACCAAUUUGCCUUGAUAGCCUUUCAACUAGAAUAGAGUUGGCAGUAGAUAUUUUAGUACUCUCAAACUAUGCCCAAACAGGGUCACCAGUGAUUGUUGUAUUAAAAGACAUUCUAUUUAAUUUUCCUCUGACUCUGGGUCGAUACCUUUUAUGCAAAAUCUAUUUACUUAAGGAAUUUUCUACACAUGUCGAUAUCAUAUUAAAGUGAAUUCAGAUCCUAUAUUAUUGACAUUAAAAUUUAGCCGAAUAGUAAAAAAUUUCCCUUUUUGUUUGUCACACAACCAUAUAGUCCCAUUUUUGGUUAUAAGCUCACAAUAUGUAAGGGAAAUGAAGAUCUAUUAAAACUUUCCCAUAAUAUUAAACAUUAAACAAUAUCAACAUUUUGUGCAUAUGGUGCCUCAUCAACAAUUUGAUGUUCAUUUUGUUGCUCGGAGGAAUAUGACUACCUAUUAAUUAAUUAGCAAGAAUUGCGUUGCGAGUCCAUGUUUUUGUCGUUUGGAUGGAGGAUGUGCCAUCUUUUUAUUGUAGAUGCUUUGUAAGGCUUUUGAUUUAAUGAUUUAAUGCAGUCAAUUAACAAAAGCUUACAUAUAUUAUUAUGUAGUUGCUGAGAUGUCUGUUCUUGAUAAAGUCGAUUUAUUUACACCCAAGCCAACGGAAUCAAAGCCUUUUCGUUAAUAAUAUACACGGUAAUUGUUUUUGUUAAAUUGAUUUCUGGCUAACAAGAUAUUUGAAAGCAUUUAGGUAGCGUUUACAUUUUGCGUUGGAGUGAGAAUCGUGAGAAAUGAGAAUCCUGGGAUUAGGAGUGUGGAGUGGGAGUCGAAGUAUGUUGUUUACUUACACUGAAAUGGAAGUAUGGAAUUGAAAUCAGAAUCCAAUUUAUUUGUUUACAUUGUCUUAGAUUGUGAGUAAUGAUUUUAAAUUACAGCUUUACUCUUAAAGAAUUAUAGUUAUUAAUUACAAAAUUAAUAAAAAUUAUAUUUUUAAAUUAAUAAUAAUUAUUAAUAUUCUUAACUAUGUAAAUCACAAUUAUUUUAUUAAUUUUAAUUUUAAUUAUAUAAAUAAAAAAUUAUUAAUAACAACAAUACAAAUGAAACAUUAUUAUUGAUAAUAUAGUACAAAAUUAAUUUUUUUAGAAUAAAAUAUUUAUUAUUAUUAAUUACUAAUAUUAAAUAAAUAUAAUAGUAUUAUUUUUAAAUAAGUAUAAUAAUAUUAUAUUUUCAAAUAAAAAUAGAAUAUAGUAAUAUUAUUAAUUCUUUAUGAAUAUAAUGAUAUUAUUUUUAAGUAAUUUUAACUUAGAAUCAAUGUAAAUUAUUAUUUUUAACCAAAAAAUUAAUAUUAUUUUAAAUAUGUUUAAUAUUAUUAUUUUUAAUAAAUUUAAUUUAUAAAAUAAUAAAAUAUUAUUAUUUAAAUAAAUAUGAUUUUACUUAUUUUAUUAAAUUUAAUAAAAUAAAUAUGUUUAAUAUUAUUAUUUUUAAUAAAUGUAAUUUAUAAAAUAAAAUAAUAAUAUAAGUUAAAUAAAUAUGAUAUUAUUUAUUUUAUUUUAUUAAAUAUAAGGGUGAAAAAGGAAGAGAGGCGAGUGAAUUUCCACUCCCACCUUCCUCCAUGGGAGUGGGAAUCUCACUCCCCCACUCCAAAAUUAGGUGGGAUCCACGGAGUGGAAUUCUCACUUCCCCUUUGAAAAUUGUAAGUAAACACUGGAGUAAGAGGAAUCCACACUCCUCACUCUCACUCCAAAAAGUAAACACUAUAUUAAAGAAGUCAUUGACUUAUAAGAAAGCCAUGAUUAAAUACACGGCGAAGCAUGUGAGCUCGUUUUUCAAUUUCUUUGAUCACUCAUAAGUAGGGGUGGGCAAAAUCGGAUUCGGAUUGGGUUCGGGUUGAUUUGAUCAAUUUCGGAUCAAUCGGGUUGGGGAAAAAAUCAUCCGAACUCAAUCCGAAUUAUUAACCCGAUCCAAUCCGAUCCGAAUAUAAUUCGGAUCGGAUUGGAUCGAAAAUUCGGAUUAAUUCGGAUUAGAUUCAGAUUUAAAAGCAUUCGGGUUAUAUAUCCAUUCUAUAUUUCUGGGUUAAUUUCAGAAGCAAUCAAGUAAAACAAUCAACCUUUUCUCAAGAUAUAGUUUUGUUUUAAGCUUUUUAAAUUAAAUUAUUUAAAACAAUAUAGUCAAUACCACCAAAAACUUGGUGACAGUGAAUGUGGAGGUGAAUUUAGUUGUAGCAGUUGUGGUAACCGGUGAAGCUAGUGGCAGCAAGCGGUAGCAGUCGAGGUGUAGUAGAUUCCAUCGGCACGUUGCGGUUGCAGCGAUGGCUUAGCUUUGAACGAUCGCGUCGGUGACUGAUGGCUGCUGGUUCACGCAGUUGCAUCUCCGAUUUGCUGGCUGCUGCUUCUUGCGGUUGCAUCUCCGAUCUGCUCGCCGCUGCUUCGCUGACAUCUCCGAUCUCCGAUGGUUUGGCUUCGCACGAUCACAUCGGUGAUUGCUGGCUGCUGGUUCGCGGCUUCGCGCGGCCGCAUCUCCGGUCUGCUGGUUGCUGCUUCUUGCGGUUGUAUCUCCAAUCUGUUGGCUGCUGCUUCGUUGUUUGGCAUCUCAACAUUUCCGAUCUCCGAGGCCAAACCUCUAUUUGUGUGUGACCGUGUGUGAUGUGAGUGUGUGUGUGUGCACUUACAGAUUAUUUUAAUUUAGAUCUAAGAUUUGCUUUUUGUGUGGUGUGAAUCCGAUUUUGUUGUGUUUGCCACUUUGUUAGUUUGUUACACAGUUUUUUUUUUAAGCCAACCCGAUCGGGUUUUCGGAUCGGAUCGGGUUUCAUCCGAUCCGAUCAUGAUCCGAUCGGGUUGGCAAAGUUACAUCCGAUUGGAUUUUGUUAACAAUCCGAUCCGAUCUGAACCCGAUAUUUUUUGGGUCAGAUCGGAUCGGAUCGGGUCGGAUAUUUUGCCCAACCCUACUCAUAAGCUUUUCUAUACCACUCACUAUAUCAUCCUUUUAAGUCAAUUUCGACUGAUCAUCAGAGAUCAUGCACCCCACCUUGAGAUGAUUGAUCACCAAUUUGGCAUUGUAACGUUGAUCACCUCUAAUUGCCCAUGCUAAAAUUGAGACCCCACAGCCAAUUGCUUCUACAGUUGAAUUUUAUCCACAGUGAGAUAAAAAUCCACCUAUUAAUUGAUAACUCGGCAUCAAUAAUUGUGGUGCCAUUCCAUCUAUUAUCAAACCCUUUUUACCGGCUUUACUAUCUAAACCACUAUGAAAAUAAGCUGGUUAAAUGACGUGGAGGAUCCAAUCUAUUUACAUCAGUUUGAAUUACCUAAAUAAUCGGUGGAUUUGAUGCUUCUAAAUCAUUGGCUAAUGUUGAAUAAUCAUUUAAGGUGGGACCCAUUUCGGUACCAAAUGACAUGUAUAACACUGAUCCACAUGAUUUCAAAUCUAACCAUUGAAUGAUCUCAUCUUUGGUCAUGUUAGAACUCCGCCGGUUGGUUCUCAUCUCACAAUCACGAAGCACUGAACCGGUCGAUUUGUAAAAUUGUUCAGGUAACAAUGGGCCCACUCCCCACACUAGCAUCAACACCAUCGAUCCCUCCACUUGCUUCAUCCAGUGUGGUUGAUCACUCGGUUCUGAUGGACCUAUUUUCUCUGAACCGGGUGCACCUCACAAAGGUUGUGGGCCACCAGGAAGGGACCCGUGAGGCCUGCGUUUAAGAUCUGAUUGGAAUAAAGCAACAUCCUUGGGUAACCCAAGAAGUAAAUGGGCCUCUCCCGGUUUGGCAUCCUGGAUGCGAGCCUGCCACAUGGCACACUCCACAGCUGCUGAGCAAGCAUCAGAAGUGAAGAACCCAACAAUGGGAACUUCAAAAUUCUUGAAAACAUCAGCCGUCCAGCCCAUCAUAACGCCGAUGACUACGCAAACAGGUCGGCUUUCGGGUUCCGGGUUGAAAGGAGGUUUCGAAGACCCUGAAGCAUUUGGUUGUGCAUGACAACAUGGAGGUAAGAAGGAGGCGAUGGUAGUAGUGGAGAUGAGGAGGGUAUUUCGGUAAUUUCACAUAGAGGGUAUUGGUGAAGAGAGGAAGGGGUGAUGCUGGUGGUGGAAACGUGAGAGGGAAUAAUGAGGGUAGAUUUGUAAUUACGAGAAGCAAUUUGCUUGCAUAAUUCAAUGCAUGGAAACAGAUGUCCCUGACCGAAGAACGGGACAAUCCAAAUCUCAGCCUCAGCAGCAUUCGCAACAGAGCUUGACAUCUUUUAUGAAUUAUUUGAGACUUAAUUGUUAUUGACUGCUUUUGCCAUCUUUCAUAAAACAUUCUUUGUUAUAUAUUCAAGUAAAUAAAUUUAUCGUUUAAAAUUAAUUUUUCAUGUGGUAAAAGCAAUACUAAAUAUGGGGUGGAGAGAAUAAUUUGUAGGGCAUACCCCCACCAUUUAUUUAAUUUCAUUAAAAAAGAAAGAAAAGAAAUAAAGGCUUGUUCAACAUUCAAUUAAAAUUAACAAUUCCAUGAUAAAAUUACUUGAGAAUAAAAAUUUUUAAAAAAAAAGUAACUCAAAAACGAGGAAUUUUUGAGUAACUGAAGAACCAUAGAUGUUUUUUGGUCAUGAGCAAUUUUUGAGUUGACACAGAACUUGUAUAAAAAAAAUAGUUUUGAAAACUUCUUUUCUUUUUUCGUAAAUAUAGAUAUAAAAUUUUAAAAUCACCAAACACAAAACCAGGAAAAUGGAAGGAGAGCCCCUGUUUCUCCUAUGUUGCAAGCACAAAUUCGGUUUCUAAAGUUGUACCUUCUAAAUGCACCAUUUGUAUUGCUUUGUCUCCACUUGAGCUAACGGAAUUUGAUGAAAACAAAAUAAUUGAACGAUAGGGAUAAAUAUCAAAGAAGGAGCUUACAUGCCCUAUAUAUUCUCUUUGGAUGAAUAACGAAGGUGAGCUUUCAAAGUACAGAGAUUUACAUGUUUUAAUUGUCAUUUACAUUGCUGCAUGCUAAUUGCUUGAUAAAAUACCGCAACAAAUACGCAUUCUCGAUUUCUUAUAAAUUUAUUUUCUUACUCUGAAAAAAAUUGAAUGUUUAGAGAAUUUUGAAGGUUUUGGUGUAUGCAUUAAUAUUUUGAUUCUAUUUAUGUUGUUUAACUAAUGAAGAUGAUACAUCUAGCCUCUUUUUGCCCCUUGUUGUUUUUAUUCUUGUGCUUUAUAUACGGUUCAAGUGUGAUACACUUUAGUUUUUCUCAAGUGUUUGUUAGUAUUUCCCGAAGCAAAAUUUGUCACAGACUUUUAGUUCAAAAGUUGAAAUCAUAACUAACAUACUUCGAUUUUUUAUUUUCCUUUUUUCUUCGGUAUCUUUCUAUAUGGCAUUGCUUGAGAAAUUGGUGUACUUAGAUCGUAAUAUUCUGUAGAAAUAAGCCAAUAUUUCAUUAUGUACAUUGUUUAAUAUGAUAAGUAUUGUAUGGAAGUUUUACAGAUAAGCUCCUUAUAUAUUAUGCAUUAUGUUUUUAUCAUAUUGUUGCUUGGAACUUUGAAGGAUUAGCCACAGGGCUUUAGUCCUACAUGGACAUUUUAUAUUUAACAGCUGGUUAGGCAUUUUAUUUGAUGUUAUUUGGACUUGUAGGUGUUAAAAGUUUUGUUCAGUAAUUUUAUAAUUCAGAUUCCCAUUGUGAAAAGAUAGCAAUUUUUAUUGUGGGUCAGAUUCUGUCAACUGAUAUUUAGCUAAAAUAUCUCACUAACCCCUAUUGGUUAGGUGUUUUUUUUAAUUCACAUACUUGAUUUUUAUUUUCUUUUUAUCUGUGGAAUCACAUGUAUCAUUCAUAAGAAACAAGCUAUUAUAUAAUCUAUUCUUUAGAUCCAUUUAUAUGUAGUGGGCACUCUGAUUUCUAUUAUUUGAAUUUUUUGCUACUGUUACUACUCUUUCGGCCCUUCAAAUAGGGGUUAACAGAAAGGGUGAGUAUAUUAAUACAAAUUCAAACUUUCUUUUUCUAAUUUUAUCCAAAAUAACCUACUAUAUUAUUUUAAUUUCCAACUUUUGUCAUAGUCUAAUGGGCAGUUGUCUUGUCAUUAUUUGGUUUUAGGUAAGAAGAGAGAAAGUUAGUGAGAGGAUGAAAAUUUUGCAAAAACUUGUUCAUAGCUAUGGUAAUUAAGUAAUUUGAGUUCUUUUUUUUUGUUAUUGUUUUUUAUUCACUUUUUCCUGUCUUAAAACAAAUAACGAGUUUUUGUGUUUUUAAUAUUUCUUAUAAACUUCAUGUUGUUUGGUAUAAAAUUAGGUAAUUGGAAAGGUCUCAUGUUGGAUGAAAUUAUCAAUUAUGUGCAGUCCCUACAAAAUCAAGUGGUCGUCAAUGUGUCAGCAUCACUUUCUUCUUCAGAUGUUACUUGUUUUUCACAUUUAUUUUUCUCUCAGUCCUUUUUAAAAGAACAUACACACACAUACUAUGUAGAGUGACCUUUUUUAAUGAGGAAUCUGUCAUUUUAAUAAAAUGAAGAAUAAACUAAAAGGUAGAAGUACACGAACUCUAAUGCAAUAUACCUUUUCUGUUCUUUUACCUUUACUAUAAGAUAGGGAAUGAUAUAAAACUGUUCGAUAAUAGUAAGUGAAAUAAUUAAAAGGCUACUGUUCUAGCUCAUUUAAUAUAUCAAACUUUUCUAGCUCAUUUAAUAUAUCAAACUGCUCGAUAAUUGAAUUGGCCUAGUUAAACAUAAUUUUCAGAUAAUCUUUUUAAUGGUUUAUUUAUUAAUAUUUUGUUUCUUUCCAGUAUGAACACUUUGUUUUGACACGUGGUUAACAACCUUCAACGAACUCGGAACAACCUUCAUCACAUGCUUUCUCACGUGGUUACUUAAACUGAUAUGUUAAACGUGCUCCAUCCACGCCGUUUCCACUAAAUCAUUUUCUGUUAAGAAUCAGCUGAGCAGCGCGUGAGCUAAUGAAGUUUUUCGUAUUGAACUCAACUCUGCUAUUUUCCCAAAGCUGGAAAGCAGAAACAUCAUCCCUUUGGUUUUAUUUCACCUCAACCUUUUUCUGAUCCCAUUUUCAUUGUAAUUUCUCAUUUACUUUGAGUGAAAGUCAUUGUUGCUUUCGAACGAGGUUUUGCAACUAAAAAGGAAAAUGGGGCGGCUACAAUACAUGCGUGCAUCUGAUACAUGCACAAAAACUGACCAUUGGAUUAAAUGGAGUGAUCUAAUGGCUGAGAUUUGUUUCAUUAUUAAGCAAUAAAAAAAUUUGAAACAACCAGAAACCUGUAAAACCGGUCAUUUGGUUUAAGGUAAAAAUAUAUAAAUGAAAAAAAAAAAAAAAAACCCACCACUCCCUCGCCUCACCUCUCUUCUUUUGGGUUUAGUAUUGCUGCUUUUAACAUAAUUGACCUAUGGCCCAAAUCAUUUCUAUAGGGCGAAGCAUAUGAAUGAUACAUAUUAUCUUUUUUUGGCCUUAUGUCUUGUUAUUUGCAGUGUGAUUUGGUCUAGCUUAAGAGCUUAAGCUUGCAGGUUGGAUUUGUCUGACAGGGAACAAUUUAAUUUGUUCAUCGUGAUGUUUAUAUCCAUUUUGUACUACUAUCAAUUUCAAUCAUGCCUAAUUUUUAUAUGUAUUUCUCGUGGACUCUCAGGUUCAGUGCACAAGAGGAUGAAGACGAUGGACACCCAAAUUUGAUGUGGAGAACAACUAUUGCAAAUGGUCCUUGAUUUACUUCUCCAAUUGACUUGAAUUGGUUUGACGCAAUUUAUACUGUAUUUUUGUCAUCUUUGUAUGACUUGCACGUCGUCCUGAUUUGGUACAUGACUGGACACAGGAAUUGGACUCAUAUUUUUCAAACCAGAAUGCCAACAAUCAAGCAUUUUCUUUUGAAAGCACUGGCGUCUUCUUCAAUGCCAAAAAGGUUAGAGAUUUUCUGUAUCCUGUUUUGUAUUUGAUCAGUUUAGCAUGUGGGUGGCAAUCAAGAAAAGUUAUUAUAACAUUUUUGUGUUCCCGAAAAACUGCUGAUGAUGUGUGACUUCUUUUUAUUUGUAUUCUUUCUUUUUCUUUUCUCCCCAACAGUAUUAUGCAUUUCGAAGAGCUUCUUGAAGUUGAUUACCAUGUAUGCCACUUUCUUUACUCUAUGCUCAGGAUGUGAUUUUGCCAAGCAUUAAAAUGGUUUAGGUCAGAACCAUCAUCUAAAGUUUACUUAAAGUUGACGGAUUAAUUCCUUUUAAUAAUGGUCUAGUUAAUUUUACUAUACUCAUAAAACUAUUCUUAUUCUGAUAAUGCCACAAAUGUUAUGAUGUUUUCUUCAGCUAAUGAUCUUCUAUCAGGACUAGUUAGAAAUCAAAUGCUUAAAACACCGAUUGAAUGAAUAAUGCAGAAGUUUAAACAGUAUCUAAUUGAAAAUUGCAUGAAACAUGAAACAUCAAUUCAAGUCCUUCCUUAAACAAAGAAUGCAUCAAACAAAUCCAAAGUGUCUUGCAUGUCUAUAGCAUGACAAAAAAGUUGUAAAUGCGUUUAGAACCAAAUUAUUCAAGUACAGGAGAACGAGCAAGUUGAAUCAUGUACACGAGAUUGGCCUGGUUCGAGAUAGCUUCUUCACUGUACCUGAAGGGUUGGCUCAAUCUUUUCUUUAGA
RNAcentral lists this long non-coding RNA (25746 nucleotides) under Citrus x clementina. Its description in RNAcentral is "Citrus clementina (C. clementina) long non-coding RNA (CCLE_LNC002765)". The record is from RNAcentral. Lineage: Eukaryota; Viridiplantae; Streptophyta; Magnoliopsida; Sapindales; Rutaceae.